Molecule: ribosomal RNA, 604 nt
Filed under: uncultured Acinetobacter sp.
Lineage: Bacteria; Pseudomonadati; Pseudomonadota; Gammaproteobacteria; Moraxellales; Moraxellaceae
Description: bacterial SSU rRNA
Rfam family: Bacterial small subunit ribosomal RNA
Source: RNAcentral
UUGCUACUGGACCUAGCGGCGGACGGGUGAGUAAUACUUAGGAAUCUGCCUAUUAGUGGGGGACAACGUUCCGAAAGGAGCGCUAAUACCGCAUACGCCCUACGGGGGAAAGCAGGGGAUCUUCGGACCUUGCGCUAAUAGAUGAGCCUAAGUCGGAUUAGCUAGUUGGUGGGGUAAAGGCCUACCAAGGCGACGAUCUGUAGCGGGUUUGAGAGGAUGAUCCGCCACACUGGGACUGAGACACGGCCCAGACUCCUACGGGAGGCAGCAGUGGGGAAUAUUGGACAAUGGGCGCAAGCCUGAUCCAGCCAUGCCGCGUGUGUGAAGAAGGCCUUAUGGUUGUAAAGCACUUUAAGCGAGGAGGAGGCUUACCUAGCUAAUACCUAGGAUAAGUGGACGUUACUCGCAGAAUAAGCACCGGCUAACUCUGUGCCAGCAGCCGCGGUAAUACAGAGGGUGCAAGCGUUAAUCGGAAUUACUGGGCGUAAAGCGCGCGUAGGUGGCCAUUUAAGUCAAAUGUGAAAUCCCCGAGCUUAACUUGGGAAUUGCAUUCGAUACUGGAUGGCUAGAGUAUAGGAGAGGAAGGUAGAAUUCCAGGUGUAGC